RNAcentral lists this long non-coding RNA (178 nucleotides) under Oncorhynchus kisutch (coho salmon). RNAcentral's name for it is "lncRNA (ENSOKIG00005022223.1)". The record is from RNAcentral. Lineage: Eukaryota; Metazoa; Chordata; Actinopteri; Salmoniformes; Salmonidae.
CCACAGUGUCUGAGUAGUACUGCCAGGAUGCCUCUCUAUGUUUUAGUUUACAUACGAUAUCACCUCUUGGUGAAAUGUGGACAGUGUUCUAUGGCUACAAAGUGCAGGGAGGGAGCAACCUUUUGUAAGGUGAGGCUGUCAGUACUGCCUCUGUCGUCCUCUUCCUCGGCCUCUCCUC